CUUUCCAGUCAGGUCAAAACUCCAAUGUAAAAUAAUAUUAACACACAGGAAUGCUGGAAAUGAUGAACGACUGCAUUUGUAAUUGAGUGAUAAAAUUAUAUUUAUUUAAAUUUUCGUCUGUCUACAACAGACUUCAUCAGAAAAUGACAAUGAUAAAAGAAUCUGCUAAAAAAGUUUUUAUGAAAGUAGAUAUAAUUGCUGUAAUUAAAAGAUAUAAUUGCUGUAAUAAAAAGCUAAUAAAAAAUGUUAAAAACAACAGCGAUGGAGAUGAAAGAAAACUAAAAACUACGAUGGAGUGUAAAAGGUAAAAGGAGAGCAGGUUUAAAAUUUAUUAAAAGUCACCAAUCGCCAAUUAAAUUUUUCUGUAUAUGUUUCGUAAGUUGAGAAUACAGGACUCCCAGAAAAAAAAAAACAGGAUGUGUGGCCGUUGCAAGCCUUGUUUGUAAUACAACAACAAUCAAUCCGUAGCUAGACAUUGUAUAGGUUAUCUGUUACUUGAUGUGUAUUAAUUAAGUUUCUCUAAUAAUUAACUUAAUGUGUAUAAGUUGCGUAAAUGAAGUUAGAACAAAAUAAAAUUGUUUAAAAAGCCUUAAACAAAGUGGCUCCUGACUGUAAGCAUAAAUAGUACUCUGACUGGGCAUAUUUUAUUUCCGAUGUUGAAAGCAGAGGGUUUCCAUGGUCUGUUUUAAUGGAAUUUUUUGUCAUUGGCGCAAAGUUAUCCAAUACUUCUAAUAAAAAUGAUUUAUAAUGCUAAGAUGUUUCAAAGCGUGGCGUGUACAAACAUUUGGUUUAGUAUCUCCUAAUGUAGCAAGGGAACACUUUCAAAAGAAACUUCUAAUCAAGUACAUUAAAAUAUGGCACAAUUCUUAUAAGCAAAACAGAAAAGACUGGAAACUUCAGAUAAGAGCAGAAUAUCAUGACAGGUUCCGGCUGUGGAAGAUGUCAUUUCAGCAAUGGAAGGCAUUCCUAUCUCACAGAAAAAUGAAAAAGAUGCUUGUUCAACGUACAAUUGAGCAUGCUCAACAUAAAUUAAAAGAAAGAUCAUUUUCAAAUUUAAGAAUGUAUUUGGUGAUAAAGAGGAUGAGGAAAGAAGAACACGAAGCUGCUGAUAUGUUUUAUAAAAAAUCAAAUCUCAGAAAAUACUGGCGGUUAUGGCUACUACAGUUUAAUAACGAGUGUUUACUUCAUAAUAUGAGUUACACAGCACUCCAACAUUGGGCUAAUACUAUGGUCAAAAAGAUGUUUAUAAGAUGGAAAGACCAAUUCAAGAAUAGAUGUGACUUAAAUCAGAAAUUAACUCACUGUACAGCUUUCUACAAUCAAAAAUUAAUUUAUAUUGCCGUGUGCAAUUGGAAGAAAUUUAUACGUUUAAAAAAAGAAAGAAAACACUUGCAAGAACAUGCUGAACAAACGUACACAAAAAAGAUUUUACAAAGAACCUUCAUACAAUGGAAACGUUCCCAUCAACUCUGUUUACAUGUAAAACAAGUAGAAGAACGUAUUGUAAAGCUGGGUGAAUUAUCUAUCAAGCGAAGAUAUUUCAAUAGAUUUGUGACAUUUAUAACCUUGAAAAAAGAGAUGGAUUUGAAGUUCACGCAAGCUAAUAAAAUGUAUGAAACAACUGUCAAAAAAGGUGUGAUCAAAGGACUGAAAGAUGUUGUAAGAAACAGUCAGAUUAAAACUGAAACUAAAAGAAAAGCAAACGACUUUUACGUGAGGAGGGUGAUGGUUGUUUGUUUUUCAAAGUGGCUGUUAAAAUGUGAAAACAGAGAAGAAAUUAAACAAUAUCCGGUGUCUAAAAUAGCAUAUUCAUAUUUCAGAACAAGGCAGCUAAGCAAAGCAAUUUUCCAAUGGCUAAAAUUUGUUAAGGAACGAAAACAAGAAGCUGCGCUGGAAAGUCUUGCUGAAAACCAUCAUAACAAAAUAAUACUACCAAGAUACUUUAUUAAUUGGAUUGACUUUACUCAUUUACAAAAGAGUAUAAAAGAAAGACAAACUGUUGCAGCGGCUUUUAAUAGGACGUUGUUACAUUCAAAAUAUUUUUAUACUUGGUUAAAAUGUUAUCAGCUGGAACUAAUACAACAACAGAUGAUCACCGAGGCUAGUGAUUAUUAUUCAGAAUCCAUGACGAAAAGAAUUUUUAAUUUAUGGAGGAAGAAAACGAAUUUCAAGCAAUUUGUUGCUGAUCUUGAGAAUCGUGCUGUUAUUCAUCGAAACCGGUCACUACUUCAAAGUGCUUUACAAAAUUGGAAUAUUCGUUUCCAAGAAAAAGUUUCUUGUGACGCUAAAAUGACUGCUGCUUCUAUAAAUUAUGAACAUGGUUUAAAAAAAAAAUGUUUGGUUGGUUUAAAAAAGUAUUUGUAUCAUUGUCGAAAAAAGAAGUUAAAAGAAAAACAAGCCUUGCAACACUAUAACUAUAAACGUCUCAAGAAAGUCAUGAUAUUGUGGAAGAGUUAUCAUGCCACAACAAAACAGACUAUAGUGCUUGCUGAGCAGAGGUAUAUUGAAAAAUCUCAAAUCUUGUGCAGUUGGGUGAUGUACACUUGGAUCAAGUUUGUUAAAAUCCAGAAGAAGGAAAAAGAGUUGUUUCUGAAAGCAGAGUUACAUUUCUGUCGUGUUCUUAAAAAAAAGAUUCUUCGUCACCUUGGACAAUAUGCGUCUGUUAGGUGUGAAAGAAGAUUUAACAUUGACGAAGCUGUCGUGAGAGCACAGAUCAGGUUAGAAAAAGUAAAACUGAGAACGCUAUUCGGCUCAUGGAGAAAAACUGCUAGCAUUGUGCAUAGUGAGAAGAAGAAUUCAACAAUAGCUGUCCAGCACUACUCUUGUGUAAUGUAUAAGAAAGUGUUAACAAGCUGGAAGAGUUAUGUUGCUACGUCAUUUAAAAUAAAGCAUUUGACAGCAUACAGUAUGAUGUUUGCAACAAGAAGCAUCGAGAAAAGACAUUUCUCUAUUUGGAAGUCAAAAUAUCUACGUCUUGCUGAAGAGGAUAGGAAAACAAACACAGCGAUAUGGUGGUGGAGUUAUCAACUGCGAAGAAAAGUGUUUACAGCGAUACACGAAUAUACAAAAUCUAAAGUAAAAAAGAAACUGAAAUAUCGAAGCGCUUUGACUUAUCGUAAAAAUAUGUUGCUGGAAAUUGGUGCAACAAAAUGGAUUCAGUAUGCUGUACACGCGAUGGAUACUCGACGUAAUAUAGCCUAUCAACAUCAAGUAAAAAAAUCGAUGGAACUUCAAUCACGUGUCCACAAAUAUGCUUUGCAUUGGUUAAAUAGAACACAAAUGAAGAAAACAAGUAUUUUAACAGAAAACAGGGGUGUGUUAAAAGGAAAACAAAGCAAUGAUUCUGAUCGUGCAUGUUUGGAUCAAAUGUCGACAUUUCGUGCUGUCAAGUUUCCAGAUACAAAGGAACGCCCUUCCCCACGCCUUCCAGAUUACCUGCGCGAAUCAUUUGACCUCUCCGCGUUCAAAAAAGACAUUACCACCCUGCAUAUGUCAACUCAGUGUAUAUCACGAUACAGUAGCCAACGCUAUGACAACAUUCCAAGACCACACACUUACGUUCCAACUCUCCAUUCACCUGUCAUAAAUCCCAUGGAAAGAGCGUCUAGUGACUCACUAAAAUUAUUGGAAUUGACAAACGACGAGAACAAUCAAUCGACUAUCGGUCAGAAGGCGAUCCUGCUACCUCCUUCCACGUUCACCACUUGUUGAGCGGGUAAACGUUGGUGGAGAUGAUACCAUGUCUGCAAGACGUCAACAAGUUUGUUGUGGUGUUACCAUUGGUGGCUGAAAUUGUGAAGCUACAAAAAAGGGCUGGUACCUAAUAUUGUAUUUAUAUUUAUAAUAAUUACAUUUUUUUAUAUUUUAAAUGUUAUGAAAAAGUAGUAAGAAAUGAA
RNA transcript from Hydractinia symbiolongicarpus, 3896 nucleotides. It is a transcript of the gene named protein SFI1 homolog, with no coding region annotated. The transcript is spliced from 32 exons. The record is from RefSeq and is a predicted model, not a curated record. Lineage: Eukaryota; Metazoa; Cnidaria; Hydrozoa; Anthoathecata; Hydractiniidae.